GCGCAAUUAGCUCAGCGGUAGAGCACUAUGUUGACAUCGUAGGGGUCACAGGUUCAAUCCCUGUAUUGCGCA
This is a non-coding RNA of Alphaproteobacteria bacterium, 72 nucleotides long. The record is from Rfam. Lineage: Bacteria; Pseudomonadati; Pseudomonadota; Alphaproteobacteria.